RNAcentral lists this long non-coding RNA (673 nucleotides) under Ananas comosus (pineapple). Its description in RNAcentral is "long non-coding RNA (ACOM_LNC044603)". Lineage: Eukaryota; Viridiplantae; Streptophyta; Magnoliopsida; Poales; Bromeliaceae. The record is from RNAcentral.
UUAUCGUACUUACCCUUUUCUUUUGUGGCCUAAUGAUACAUUGAGCUGAGGUCAGUAAUUGCCCACUGGGAACUAUAAAUUAUAGUUCUCACGUCCUCUGUUUUAUAUUUUUGUUUUCAGAGCCUUUCACGCCGGGAGAGGCUAGGGACCGCGGGAAAGGAAUUGCCUCGAGCUAGCUUGCUUUGAGGGACGUGUCGAUAGGUGGUCUACCUCUCGUUGUUUUCUUUUGGAGAUGUUGAGAGUUGUAUCCAUGUAUAGAGACCACCCUUUUGUGUACCUUUUUGGAGAUGGUUAUUGUAUAACUCUAUGUUUUACCUUUAUUGUUUAGUUACGCUUUAUUUACUUUUGUUACAGAUGAUAGAUGUAUAUUUGCUCUGAUAUCUCUAGUUGUAGAUCAUCUUUUGGUUUUAUUUUUCGCUGUUAUUGUAGACGCCUUAUAUGUGCUGACAUAUGGCGGGUCUGGGCGCGCCACCGGGAGGGCCUCCGCCGGUCCCAGGGCGUGACAAAUUAUUUCUUCACAAUCUCGUCCAACUGACACAGCCAAUGAACAUUAUCUUUUUAUAAAAAAACGGCUGCAAUACAGCAAACAAUCAAGUAUAUAUCCAAGCUUUCAAAUUAUAACAUAUUGUAACAAAAAAAAAAAAAAUUAAGUAUUUAUAUAUUUAUUUUCUUA